GUAGAGCUCAGUUUAUUGUUAGGUAUACAUGUUCCUCUUUGCCCCUUGUCAGUAAGUUGGAUCAGCUUUCUAUUCAUCACAUGAGAUAUUAGGGAAUUUUUAGUAGCCUCAUAAUGUGUUACAAUUAUAUGAGAGAGCCUUUGCGGUCAGUCCUAUUUCAUUGCUAACAUCAUUAUUACACACACACUUACACAUACAUAGGUAUCACUAAAUGUUACUGCAGAUUGUUGGAUGGUUUUCUUUCUAUUAUAUAGGAUCUUACAUUCCUUGUUAAGAUUCUCAAACAACGUUUACUUGUUAAGAGAUGAGAGGUUGAUUUAUAUAGCAGAUGAACUACAUGGUUUUACCUUACCUUUUAUGACAAAACUUUUGAAAUGAAAAUGUAGGGAAAAAAGGGAAUGGGAAGAGACA
Molecule: long non-coding RNA, 411 nt
Filed under: Bos taurus (domestic cattle)
Lineage: Eukaryota; Metazoa; Chordata; Mammalia; Artiodactyla; Bovidae
Description: long non-coding RNA NONBTAT018177
Source: RNAcentral